GACAGAGGGGGCAAGCGUUGCUCGGAAUUACUGGGCGUAAAGGGCGCGUAGGCGGCCAACUAAGUCAGACGUGAAAUCCCUCGGCUUAACCGGGGAACUGCGUCUGAUACUGGAUGGCUUGAGUUUGGGAGAGGGAUGCGGAAUUCCAGGUGUAGCGGUGAAAUGCGUAGAUAUCUGGAGGAACACCGGUGGCGAAGGCGGCAUCCUGGACCAACACUGACGCUGAGUGAGCGAAAGCCAGGGGAGCAAACGGG
Molecule: ribosomal RNA, 254 nt
Filed under: uncultured bacterium
Lineage: Bacteria
Description: partial 16S ribosomal RNA
Rfam family: Bacterial small subunit ribosomal RNA
Source: RNAcentral